RNAcentral lists this long non-coding RNA (487 nucleotides) under Mytilus galloprovincialis (Mediterranean mussel). Lineage: Eukaryota; Metazoa; Mollusca; Bivalvia; Mytilida; Mytilidae. The record is from RNAcentral.
GAUCGGUUCUGAUUGAGGACAUCGUGAAUGCGUGAGGGGACGUGAAAUCAUAUCUUCAUAUCCAAGCUAUAAGUCUUUGAAAGUUGCAUAAAUGUGGCAUGCCAAACCUUCCCUUUAUGGAAAUCUUAAAUAUAACAUUUAAAUGACAACAUUACAUGAGAGGACUACAAUACAAAUAAAUGAGAGAACAUAUAGGACAGAGAAAACAUAGCUUACAAAAGGUACCAGGUUUUUAAUAUACGCCAGGCGUGCGUUUCGUCCACACGAGACUAUGAAAAAAGUUCGAAUGCCAAAACAAGUACAUUAAAGACCAAAAGUUCCAAAAAUGUUGUGCCUAAUACGGGCAGGGUUAUCUGUCUGGGAUAAGAACAUCCUUAUCAUUAUAAAUAAUUCAUACUUUUGCAACCAGUAUUUUUUAUAUAAAAUGACUAUAUAAUAGAUAAACAUGUUAAACUCGAAGUGGUGACUAAUUUCAGGAUAAACACGG